GGCUGUGUGGUCUAGUGGUAUGAUUCUCGCUUAGGGUGCGAGAGGUCCCGAGUUCGAUUCUCGGCACAGCCC
Perkinsus marinus ATCC 50983 is the source of this 72-nucleotide non-coding RNA. NCBI's taxonomy places the organism in Eukaryota, Perkinsozoa, Perkinsida, Perkinsidae. The record is from Rfam.